AUAGCUUCUUGGCCUUUUGGCUAAGAUCAAGUGUAGUAUCUGUUCUUAUCAGUAACAGAAAAAUCAAGUAAAAGCAGUAAAACAUGUAAUUUAGAAAUAUGACAUAAAUAUUCAACAACU
Molecule: small nuclear RNA, 120 nt
Filed under: Zalophus californianus (California sea lion)
Lineage: Eukaryota; Metazoa; Chordata; Mammalia; Carnivora; Otariidae
Also listed under: 1 other name
Description: U2 spliceosomal RNA (ENSZCAG00015004230.1)
Rfam family: U2 spliceosomal RNA
About the family: U2 is a small nuclear RNA (snRNA) component of the spliceosome (involved in pre-mRNA splicing). Complementary binding between U2 snRNA (in an area lying towards the 5' end but 3' to hairpin I) and the branchpoint sequence (BPS) of the intron results the bulging out of an unpaired adenosine, on the BPS, which initiates a nucleophilic attack at the intronic 5' splice site, thus starting the first of two transesterification reactions that mediate splicing.
Source: RNAcentral